Molecule: ribosomal RNA, 687 nt
Filed under: Salinibacterium amurskyense
Lineage: Bacteria; Bacillati; Actinomycetota; Actinomycetes; Micrococcales; Microbacteriaceae
Description: bacterial SSU rRNA
Rfam family: Bacterial small subunit ribosomal RNA
Source: RNAcentral
CUACCAUGCAGUCGAACGAUGAAGCCGGAGCUUGCUCUGGUGGAUUAGUGGCGAACGGGUGAGUAACACGUGAGUAACCUGCCCUUGACUCUGGAAUAAGCGUUGGAAACGACGUCUAAUACCGGAUACGAGCUUCCGCCGCAUGGUGAGGAGCUGGAAAGAAUUUCGGUCAAGGAUGGACUCGCGGCCUAUCAGGUAGUUGGUGAGGUAAUGGCUCACCAAGCCUACGACGGGUAGCCGGCCUGAGAGGGUGACCGGCCACACUGGAACUGAGACACGGUCCAGACUCCUACGGGAGGCAGCAGUGGGGAAUAUUGCACAAUGGGCGCAAGCCUGAUGCAGCAACGCCGCGUGAGGGACGACGGCCUUCGGGUUGUAAACCUCUUUUAGUAGGGAAGAAGCGAAAGUGACGGUACCUGCAGAAAAAGCACCGGCUAACUACGUGCCAGCAGCCGCGGUAAUACGUAGGGUGCAAGCGUUAUCCGGAAUUAUUGGGCGUAAAGAGCUCGUAGGCGGUUUGUCGCGUCUGCUGUGAAAACUGGGGGCUCAACCCCCAGCCUGCAGUGGGUACGGGCAGACUAGAGUGCGGUAGGGGAGAUUGGAAUUCCUGGUGUAGCGGUGGAAUGCGCAGAUAUCAGGAGGAACACCGAUGGCGAAGGCAGAUCUCUGGGCCGUAACUGACGCUGA